RNAcentral lists this ribosomal RNA (748 nucleotides) under uncultured bacterium. Its description in RNAcentral is "bacterial SSU rRNA". It matches the Rfam family "Bacterial small subunit ribosomal RNA", at positions 8 to 799 of the family's 1533-position model. The record is from RNAcentral.
AGAGUUUGAUCCUGGCUCAGGAUGAACGCUGGCGGUAUGCCUUAUACAUGCAAGUCGUACGAGAGUUUUUAACUCUAGUGGCGGACGGGUGAGUAACACGUAAGAAUUUGCCUUUAGGAGGGGGACAACAACUGGAAACGGUUGCUAAUACCCCAUAUGCUUUCGAGUGAAAUGGAUUUCCGCCUAAAGAGAAGCUUGCGGCUGAUUAGCUUGUUGGUAGGGUAAUGGCCUACCAAGGCGACGAUCAGUAUCUGGUUUGAGAGGACGAUCAGACACACUGGAACUGAGACACGGUCCAGACUCCUACGGGAGGCAGCAGUAGGGAAUUUUCCGCAAUGGGCGAAAGCCUGACGGAGCAAUACCGCGUGAGGGAUGACUGCCUAUGGGUUGUAAACCUCUUUUUUCAGGGAGGAAUAAAUGACGUGUACCUGAAGAAUAAGCAUCGGCUAACUCCGUGCCAGCAGCCGCGGUAAGACGGAGGAUGCAAGUGUUAUCCGGAAUCACUGGGCGUAAAGCGUCUGUAGGUGGCUCGACAAGUCAACUGUUAAAUCUUGAAGCUCAACUUCGAAAUCGCAGUCGAAACUAUCGAACUAGAGUAUAGUAGAGGUAAAGGGAAUUUCCAGUGGAGCGGUGAAAUGCGUAGAGAUUGGAAAGAACACCGAUGGCGAAGGCACUUUACUGGGCUAUUACUGACACUCAGAGACGAAAGCUAGGGUAGCAAUGGGAUUAGAUACCCCAGUAGUCCUAG